Molecule: ribosomal RNA, 551 nt
Filed under: uncultured bacterium
Lineage: Bacteria
Description: bacterial LSU rRNA
Rfam family: Bacterial large subunit ribosomal RNA
Source: RNAcentral
AACAGAUAUCCCCUAGUAGUGGCGAGCGAACGGGGAUCAGCCGAGCGUGAGAAUGACCAGAAUGGCCUGGAAAGGCCAGCCAUAGUGGGUGACAGCCCCGUAUGGGAAGUUUGAUCGGACGUAUUAAGUAGGGCGGGACACGUGAAAUCCUGUCUGAAGAUCGGGGGACCACCUCGAAGGCUAAGUACUCCUUACUGACCGAUAGCGAACCAGUACCGUGAGGGAAAGGUGAAAAGCACCCCGACGAGGGGAGUGAAACAGUUUCUGAAACCGGACGCCUACAAGCAGUCGGAGCCUCCUUGAGAGGUGACGGCGUACCUUUUGUAUAAUGGGUCAACGACUUGGUCUAUCUAGCAAGCUUAAGCCGGUAGGUGUAGGCGCAGCGAAAGCGAGUCUUAAAAUGGGCGACUUAGUUAGAUGGAUCAGACCCGAAACCAGAUGAUCUAGGCAUGAGCAGGAAUGAAGGUUGGGUAACACCAACUGGAGGUCCGAAACCCAACAACCUGUUGAAAAAGGUCGGGAUCGACUUGUGCCUAGGGGGUGAAAAGGCC